RNAcentral lists this ribosomal RNA (385 nucleotides) under uncultured bacterium. Its description in RNAcentral is "bacterial SSU rRNA". It matches the Rfam family "Bacterial small subunit ribosomal RNA", at positions 367 to 743 of the family's 1533-position model. The record is from RNAcentral.
CUCCAACGAGCGCAACCCUGACGCAGCCAUGCCGCGUGAAUGAAGAAGGCCUUCGGGUUGUAAAGUUCUUUCGGUAGCGAGGAAGGCAUUUAGUUUAAUAGACUAGGUGAUUGACGUUAACUACAGAAGAAGCACCGGCUAACUCCGUGCCAGCAGCCGCGGUAAUACGGAGGGUGCGAGCGUUAAUCGGAAUAACUGGGCGUAAAGGGCACGCAGGCGGUGACUUAAGUGAGGUGUGAAAGCCCCGGGCUUAACCUGGGAAUUGCAUUUCAUACUGGGUCGCUAGAGUACUUUAGGGAGGGGUAGAAUUCCACGUGUAGCGGUGAAAUGCGUAGAGAUGUGGAGGAACACCAAUUGCGAAGGCAGGUUACCAAGAUAUAACUGA